RNAcentral lists this ribosomal RNA (301 nucleotides) under uncultured bacterium. RNAcentral's name for it is "partial 16S ribosomal RNA". It matches the Rfam family "Bacterial small subunit ribosomal RNA", at positions 509 to 807 of the family's 1533-position model. The record is from RNAcentral.
CAGCAGCCGCGGUAAUACGAAGGGGGCUAGCGUUGUUCGGAAUUACUGGGCGUAAAGCGCACGUAGGCGGAUAUUUAAGUCAGGGGUGAAAUCCCAGAGCUCAACUCUGGAACUGCCUUUGAUACUGGGUAUCUUGAGUAUGGAAGAGGUGAGUGGAAUUCCGAGUGUAGAGGUGAGAUUCGUAGAUAUUCGGAGGAACACCAGUGGCGAAGGCGGCUCACUGGUCCAUUACUGACGCUGAGGUGCGAAAGCGUGGGGAGCAAACAGGAUUAGAUACCCCCGUAGUCCCUGUCUCUUAUAC